This 253-nucleotide ribosomal RNA is filed under the name uncultured bacterium. RNAcentral describes it as "partial 16S ribosomal RNA". It matches the Rfam family "Bacterial small subunit ribosomal RNA", at positions 524 to 776 of the family's 1533-position model. The record is from RNAcentral.
CACGGGGGGAGCAAGCGUUGUUCGGAAUUACUGGGCGUAAAGGGCGUGUAGGCGGUCAAGUAAGUGGAAUGUGAAACGCCUCGGCUUACCCGAGGACCUGCAUCCCAAACUGCUUGGCUUGAGUAUGGGAGAGGAUGAGGGAAUUCCUGGUGUAGCGGUGAAAUGCGUAGAUAUCAGGAGGAAUACCGAUGGCGAAGGCAGGUCUCUGGGCUAACACUGACGCUCAUGCACGAAAGCGUGGGGAGCAAACAGG